Molecule: long non-coding RNA, 457 nt
Filed under: Homo sapiens (human)
Lineage: Eukaryota; Metazoa; Chordata; Mammalia; Primates; Hominidae
Description: HSALNT0394154
Source: RNAcentral
AGGGGUGAUGUGGAGACUAGUGGAGUUGCUGGAGGAGAGUGCCUGAGACUCUGAAAUGAAGGGCUCGCUAGAAGCGGUGAGAGGACACCUUAAUUUCUGCAGAUCCAAGUUGACAUCAGAUGCAGUCACUUACUGGUGGCAUGACCUGGUGAAGGUGUAACCUUUCUCAACCUCAGAGCUCUUACUCACUGUGUGUUCCUGCAAGACCUCUCUUUCCCUAGGGGAAAACAGAGACAUCUCAUCACAGAUAGCUCUAGGUUUGCCUUGGCCAUGAUGUCCAAGUGGUCUGCUUGGUUCCAUGCCUGCGUCUGAGCUGGCUCUGUGGGAGGUGCCAAGCUGCCUUCGACACUGUGCAUGGCACUUUAAAGCUCUCAAUAAAUAUUUUUCAAGUGAAGUCAAUGAAGCAAGAAAGAAUCUCAACUAGUUUUGAGGUAAUGGUUCAAGAUGACAUUCUUUC